AGCAUGUGGAAAUUCCUGGGCCAGGGAUGGAACCCACGCCACAGCAGGGAACCAAGCCACUACAGAGACAACACUAGACCCUUAACCCACUGUGCCACAAGAGAACUCCCUAUGUAUGAUUUCUAAUUCAACUUCUUCUCCUCUCCUCUUUCUCCUAAUGACCGAGAUGUAUUGUCGUAUAUAUAUAUUGUAGGGUAUGGAAAAUCUGACAUAAGAAUUUUAAUACUUUAAGAGGUCCCCUUUUUAAGAGGGGCUUUUCCUUCAGUGUCUACGACUCUGUAAGAGUUGCUCUGUAAGAGUUGACCUAGCAUUUGUGCUUCCAGGUAUAAUUCAAAAGAAUUGUAAACAGGGACUGAAUCACAUACUGGCACACCAGUGUUCACUGUAGUGUAAUCCAUAAUAGCCCAAAGAUGGAAACAACCCAGCGUCCACCAACAGAUAAAUGUGUGAACAAAAUGUGGUAUAUACAAAUGACAGAGUAGUAUUCAGCCAUAAAAAGAAAUGAAGUACAUGGAAACAGUAUAUUAAGCGAAAUGAACCAGACAUAAAAAGAAAAACAUUGUAAGAUUUCACUCAUAUGAAAUAUCUAGAAUAGACAAAUUCAUAGAAAUAAAAAGUAGAUUAUUACUGGUGGGUCAGGGCCUGGGGGAUAGGAACUUAUAGUAUAAUGGUUAUAGAAUUUCUUUCUGGAGUGAUGGAAAAAGUUUGUUAAUAGCAGUGAUAGAUGGCCAACACUGUGAAUGCACUUAAUGCUGUUGAAUUGCACACUUAAAAUUGUUUAAAUGGAUAUUUUUGUUAUAUAUAUUUUACCACAAUAAAAAUGUUCACAGGCACAUCAAAAACGAGUGGAAGGCAACUCCCCAGGGCAAGGGCCACCUCCUUCCCACUCCAUCCCUCUCCCUAACUGCCUUCUGUGAUCUUUCCUUUCCUCAUCACCUGACUCCCUCAAUAUCCAAUGAACAUCUGACCUCCAUUAAAGGAGAAUUUCCUGGGUUUCACUGCACAAGUGCAUCUGCUAUUCUCCAUACUUUGUAACACUUGUAUUAGCUACCACAUAGGCUAAUACUAAUCUACUAUUGAGUUAGUACCAUGUUACCACCAUGAAGCAGAGCAAAUAAUAAUUAGUAUAUAGCAACACACAGCCAUUUCCCCUCUGUGUGUGUGUGUUCAAACUAAAAAGAAUUAUUAUUUUAAAAAGAAAAAAUGCUAUCAAAUAUUUUCUACAACUCCAUUAGUUCUAAGAGGCCUCCCCCACGUCCCCCCCAAGUGUAACUUGAUACCAACCUUUCUGGAAAUCAGUGUAGCAGUGACUAUCAGACGCUUUAAAAAAUAUGUAUACCCUUUAAUUCACCAAUCCCUCAUCCAAAAGAAGGACAAAGAUUUAUGCACAAAGCCACUGGGAACUAUGUCUGGUCACUUAUGAUGGAGCAUGAUAAUGGGAGAAAAAACAAUGUAUACAUGUAUGUGUAACUGGGUCACCUUGCUGUAUAGUAGAAAAUUGACAGAGCACUGUAAAUCAGCUACAAUGGAAAAAAACAAAAAUCAUUAUAUAUAUAAAAAAGAUUUAUGCACAAAGCUGUUUAUCACCAUAAAAAAUGCAAUGACACAGAGUUCCCUUUGUGGCUCAGCUGUAAUGAACCCGACUAGUAUCCAUGAGUUUGUGGGUUUGAUCCCUGGCCUCGUUCAAAGGCUUAAGGAUCCGGUGUUGCCGUGAACUGAGGUGUAGGUCACGGAUGCAGCUCAGAUCCCGAGUUACCCAUGGCUAUGGUGUAGGCCAGCAGCUGCAGCGCCAAUUUGACCCACUAUCCUGGGAAAUUCUAUAUGCCAUGGUGCAGCCCUUAAAAGACAAAAAAGAAAAAAAAUGCAAUGACACUGACAAAUAUGUAUGUCUUAAUGUGAGCAUAAACAGCAGGAUGCAAAUUUGCAUGUACAUUAAUGAUCUCGAUUAUGAAAGAAUAAAAUGAAUAAAACACUGGAAAGAAAUAUAUUACAAUGGUGUUGGAGUUGCUUCUAGUUAGGAAGAGUUUUCGUUUUUUGUUAUUUUUUAAAAUUUUUGUUUAAUUUCUUUUUGCAAUAAGCAUCUAUCACUGAUAAUCAGAGAAAAAAAAUAAUGGAAAAGCUGCCUUAAAUCCUUUCUGGUGUUAGAUGUGGUACCCCUCCCCCAGGACGCUGUUGGAAAAUGACAGUGGGACAUGAAAUGGAAAUUGCACAGUUAGUAGAAUUCUCCAGAAUGGUAGCCCUAGAAAAGAGGCAACAAGUCCCUAUCAUGCCACUGACCUUCCAGUUGAAGAACACUUUGGGGGAGAGAUUAAGGGUUAAGUAAAAAGUUAAAAAAAAAUGCUAAAAGGGGAAAGAAAACAUUUAGGUGGAUACUCUCCAUUUAGGUAUAAACCUAGAUAAUCCUUCAAGAUAUUCACACUUCUGGAGUUCCUGUCAAGGCACAGCAGAAGCAAAUCCAGCUAGAAACCAUGAGGUUGUGGGUUCGAUCCCUGGCCUCACUCAGUGGGUUAAGGAUCCAGCAUUGCCAUGAGCUGUGGUGUAUGUCACAGAGGUGGUUUGGAUCCUGAGUUGCUGUGGCUGUGGUUUAGGUCGGCGGCAACAGCUCCGAUUAGACCCCUAGCCUGGGAACAUCCAUAUGCCGCAGGAGUGGCCCUAGAAAAGGCAAAAAGACAAAAAAAAAAAAAAAAAAAAAAAAAAAAGAUGAAAAAAAUAGGGUAUUCCUUGGCAAGACUGUGAAAUCUUUGCUUUCUUUAUAUAUAUCCUUUCUCUUGACAAUGACUUUUUUUUUUUUUCCCACUGUACAGCAAGGGGGUCAGGUUAUCCUUACAUGUAUACAUUACAAUUACAGUUUUUCCCCCACCCUUUCUUCUGUUGCAACAAUGACUUUUUAAAAAUACUCAGGACCUUUUAAAGACACAAUCAGGACCAUCGUAUGCUCUGUUAUACUUUGAUAAGAACUCAUAAAUACUCAAUUCUCUCUCAAGAUAUUUGCAUUUUAAGCUUCCUAUCCCUAAUUAUGGAAUAAAUUACUUUUGUUUAAAUUCUGAAAUUUUGAGAUAAUAGCAAUCAGGAAUUUUUUUGUACAGAGAGAUAUCUUGCCCUGAGGUCAUAGUGUAUAUGAGACAAACCCAGAUGACUGACCUACUUUUUAGUCACUUGAAUAUCAGGAUUACUCAGAAGGAACUUUAUUUCUUCUAUUUCCCUGACAGGUCCCUGUGCAAGGGUUAAGACUUGUGAUCUCUACUAGGGGCCUCUUCUCACCCAAGAACUUGGAAGUCAAAUGAUUUCUCACACAUCUAAAACAAAGCUCUUGAUUUCCUCUGCUAAAUCUAAUCCUCAUCUUGGUACCUGGCAGCUCCAUUCAAUUAGCUGCCUAGACCCAAUCCUAAAAACUUUGGCUCAUGCCAAACACCCCAUGUUCAACCCAUCAGCAAGGGUUGUCAGCUCUACCUUCAAGCAGUUCCUGAAUCUGAAGACUUCUCUGAUUCUCUACCACUGUAUCUAUUUGGUCUCUCUCCUUCCACCUUUGCCCCUCUAUAAUGUAUUCUUCAUUCAGCAGCAAGAUGGAUCCUGUUAGAAUAUAAAUCUGAUUAUUUCACCCUUUUGCUCAAAAUCUUCAAAUGACCUUUCUACCAUAUUUGGAAUAGAAUCUCAAGCUCUGACCGGUCCCCGCUCUUCUUAAACCACAUAUCCCACCAUUCUCUUCCUCAUCCAUCAGGAUCCAUAAACAUUGGUCUCCUUAUCUUCCUCAAACAAUUCCACCUCAGGGCCAUUCACUCUGCCAGAAUGUUCUUUCUUUUCCUUUUUUUUAAGGGCCACACCAGCAGCAUACAGAACUUCCCAGGAUAGGGGCUGAAUUGGAGCUGCCUCUGCCAGCCUGUACCACAGCCACAGCAACGCCAGAUCUGAGCCACAUCUGUGACCUACACCACAGCUCACAGCAACACCGGAUCCUUAACCCACUGAACAAGGCCAGGGAUCAAACCCACAUCCUCAUGGAUACUAGUCAGGUUCAUUACUGCUGAGCCACAGCGGGAACUCCUGAGUGUUCUUUCCUCAGCUAUGCUCGUGACUUGUCCCUUCACUCCAUUCAGGUCUUUACUCAGUGAAUCCCUCUUCAGCAAGAUCUUCCCUGACCACCAGAACUAAAAUGACAACCCCACACCCACCAGUACUCUUCAUCAUUUUCUACCCCUCUCCCCACCUUGAUUUCUCUUGAUAGAAAUUACCACUCUCUUGCCACUUCAUUACACAUACAUUUGUUUGUUGUUAAUUGUCUGUUGUCCCUUAGCAAGCUUUAAGGUCGAUGAGGAUAAUCGAUUCUUUGUUUUGUUCACAGCUGUAUAUCCAGUACCUAGAACAAUGCCUGGCAUAUCCAUAAAUGAAUUGAUGACCAAAACAGUGAGCCACUGGAUUAAAGAAAGCAUCUCUGUUUUUUGUGGUUGUUUUAGUUUUUUGCUGCAACCUACCCUAGAGCCCACUCAGAACACAGAGGAGGUAAGACAGUCAUAGAGCUCCCGAGGCUAGAUAUUUGGGAAACUGGGUACAUUAAAGGGGGGGGGGGGCAGAUAGAAAGAUGUUCCUUGAAUUGUUACACCCUUGGAAGAUCUUUUCUCCCCACCUGGGCCACUUGACCCAUGGCUUAGGUCACUCUCAUUCCCUUCCUCUGAAGCCAUUCUCUACAGGGAAAGUAAACCACACCUCAUACCAGAGCUUCUACUAUCUGAAGUUGUUUUGUACCCAAGAAACUAGGAGAAUUGGGAGUAAAAAGAAACUUGUCAGCCACUUAGAUGGAAAGAUAAGACUUGCAAGAUAAGACUAGUUGUGCAGAAAACAAGGAAUUCAAGCAUUGGGCAUGGAGUGUGGUACCCAGAGUAUUGAGCAGUUUAAUCUGGAGCUUUAAGGGGAGAUGGCAGAGCAUAGUCAUGGAGGACACAGGCUAAAAGGAAGAUGGUCUUGAGUUCGGUUCCAGCUUCACUACUAGCUGUUUAAUCUCAAGAACCUUACUUAGCCUUUUGCAGCCUCAGUAUUCUUAUCACAAAAUAAAAAUAGUAAUCAUUAUUUCAAAGAAUGCAUUGAUCAUUAAAUGUUUUAUGUAUUUUAAAGGCAUAGCUCAGUGUAUGGCACAUGGUGAGCCCUAAAUGAAUGGAAGGUGUUAUUAUCAUUGUUUCAGUGUCUAAGAUGAAGGAAAACUAUUGACCCUAAUGGCAACUAUAAAUUCUACAGAAAUAACAGGAUAAUUUAUGUGACUGGUUGAUAUUUGAUACUCAGUUAUGACACAAGACAGCAUUAGUUAUGCAUAGAAUUUAGUAUGUUCAAAAUUAAUUUUGUUUCAUUGAAACAAGAUUCAUAAACCAUAAACAAGACAGAACACAGUGUCUUUGGACAGGUUCUUUAACUUCUCUGGCUCUAGUGUGUUGUCACAUGCGCACAACAGCACAGUAUUCUCCAAAACUGGGCUAUCACUUUGAUGUCCCUUGUUGUAAAGGCUAUGGCUGCAAAGUAGAGAUGCUGAAGCUGGAAAGAUGAAUUGGGGCCAGAUUGCAAAAAGAAUUAUGUAUCACUCUAAAUUGAGAGUGGGUGUUAUUCAAAGAAAGCCUCUGAUUUUUUUUCUAAAGCAACAAAGUGAUAUGAUCAAAUCUUUGUUUUGGAAGGAUAACUCUGUGUUGUAAGCCUUUGGGGUUGCAGUGAAGAUGCAAAGAAGAUUAACAGAGUGGAACGAGACUUGAGGUAGGGAGUUCAGCCAAGAGAAUAUUAGAGUAGUUGAUGUUCAAAAAGAAACAUGCACCCCAAUAUUCAUUGCAGCACUGUUCAUGAUAGCUAAGACAUGGAAGCAAUCCCCAUGCCCACUGACAGACGAAUGGACAAAGAAGAUGUGGUAUAUAUACAAUGGAAUAUUACUCAGUCAUAAAAAAGAAUGAAAUAAUGCCAUUUUUAGCAACAUAGUUGGAUCUAGAGAUUACCAUAUUAAGUGAAGUAAGUCAGAAAGAGAAAAAUAUCCUAUGAUAUCACUCAUAAAUGGAGUAUUUUUUAAAUAAUACAAAUGAACUUACAUACAAAAUAGAAAUAGACCCACAGACAUAGAAAGCAAACUCUUGGUUACUAAAGGGGGAGGGAUAAGUUAGGAGUUUGAGAUUAACAUAUACAGACUACUAUAUGAAAAUAACUAACAAGAACCACUGUAUAGCACAGGGAAUUAUACUCAGUAUCUUAUCAUAACCUAUAAAGGAAGAGAAUGUAAAAAAAGAAUAUGCAAAUAAACUGAAUCACUUUGCUAUAUACCUGAAACUAACACAACAUUAUAAAUCAACUAUAUUUCAAUAAAAAAAUUUAAAAAUAAAUAAAAUUAAAUUUAAAAAUAAAAAAAAUUUAAGUCAUUGACAGAAGAUGACGUGGCCCUAAUUAUUCAAAUAUUGAAUGGAUUUAAAUAAUUGAUUGGUGAACUAUAUUAUUACACUAUCUCUGUGAGUGCUUUUCUUCCCAUGUGAAGCAGUGAAAUAGAUAACUUACACAUUCUAAAAACUGGGAAGUAGAGGGAACCUACAACUUGACGUGCACUUGGCCAUGAAAGACUGCCUGUUGAAAGUGGGAUUCACUUCAGAAACUGUAGGCAAUUGAAAAAGAGAGAGCUUACGUUAGAAGAAAAGCAUUUUCAAUUACAUCAAAUGCCAUAAUGGAGAGGCAUUUUAAUUUCUUUUGCACAGGGAACAUGACAGCUCUUUACCAGUAGCCAUUCUCAUGUUCCAAAGCACUAGCACCAUCCCUGUUUUCUAAGACAGUUCUCUCUUCAAACUCUUUUCGCCACUUCCUUGGCUCAGUAUAGAACUCCUCCAUACCAUAGACACAAAAACCUUUGUCAAGGCUGCACAAAGGCAUCAUCCUCCUUAUUUUACACAGAUUCUUCCAUGAGAAUACCUUCCUCCCUACUUCCAGGCUCAAAGGAGUAAGUAUUUUCUGGAGUUGGUUUAUUGCUCACAAAAAGAACAGAUUUGAAUUCCAGCACUGUCCUUUACUGAAGAGGUGAUUUUAGAAAAUAUACUUCAUUUUUCUUUUUUUUUUUUUUUGGCAUUUCUUGAGCCGCUCCCACGGCAUAUGGAGGUUCCCAGGCUAGGGGUCUAAUUGGAGCUGUAGCCACCAGCCUAUGCCAGAGCCACAGCAACGCAGGAUCCGAGCCGCGUCUGCAACCUACACCACAGCUCAUGGCAACGCCGGAUCGUUAACCCACUGAGCAAGGGCAGGGACUGAACCCGCAACCUCAUGGUUC
Molecule: long non-coding RNA, 7264 nt
Filed under: Sus scrofa (pig)
Lineage: Eukaryota; Metazoa; Chordata; Mammalia; Artiodactyla; Suidae
Description: lncRNA (ENSSSCG00045010157.1)
Source: RNAcentral